AGAGCGAACGCUGGCGGCAGGCCUAACACAUGCAAGUCGAGCGCUCCGCAAGGGGAGCGGCAGACGGGAGAGUAACACGUGGGAACGUACCCUUCAGUUCGGAACAACCCAGGGAAACUUGGGCUAAUACCGGAUACGUCCGUAAGGAGAAAGAUUUAUCGCUGAAGGAUCGGCCCGCGUCUGAUUAGCUAGUUGGUGAGGUAACGGCUCACCAAGGCGACGAUCAGUAGCUGGUCUGAGAGGAUGAUCAGCCUCACUGGGACUGAGACACGGCCCAGACUCCUACGGGAGGCAGCAGUGGGGAAUAUUGGACAAUGGGCGCAAGCCUGAUCCAGCCAUGCCGCGUGGGUGAUGAAGGCCCUAGGGUUGUAAAGCCCUUUCGGCGGGGAAGAUAAUGACGGUACCCGCAGAAGAAGCCCCGGCUAACUUCGCGCCAGCAGCCGC
Molecule: ribosomal RNA, 444 nt
Filed under: uncultured bacterium
Lineage: Bacteria
Description: SSU rRNA
Rfam family: Bacterial small subunit ribosomal RNA
Source: RNAcentral